CAUGCAGCAAUAUGGUGGGGACACAUACCACAGCUGAGCUCUGGACAGGAGGUUUUCCAUUUUAUAAGGAACUCAAACCACCAAGAAAACCAGCUUAUCCCACAAAAUAUUUUUACACUUCUCUAGAACUCAGUAAGAGGCCCUCAACGGAUUGGAUGAUGCCUGUCCACGGUCCACAUCGGUGAGGGUGAUUGUCUUUACUCAGUCUAUUGAGUCAAACACUAAUCUAUUCUGGAAACACUCUCAGACUCACCCAGAAGUAAUGUUUUGCCAGCCAUCGGAGCAUCCUCUGGCUUAGUCAAGUUAACACAUAGAAUUAACCAUCACAGAAGGCAACAGAAAAACCUUUAAAGAAUCAAUAGAAAAUAUGUGCAUCAGAAAAUAUUGCUGGCUUACCCAAAAGCUAUUUCCCUCUUGUUCCUUACUAACAAUCUGUACUUUGUUUAUAUUUGAGGAAGUAAUGUACUCAAGGAAGUUUUGUCUCUAACCUAGCAUUCAAGGAUGCCAAGACAAUCAUGUUAAUCCCAUUUCCUCUACCAGUGAUUUUGUGUGGAGGUGGGCAUAUCACUCACUUCUAACCAAAA
Molecule: long non-coding RNA, 584 nt
Filed under: Pongo abelii (Sumatran orangutan)
Lineage: Eukaryota; Metazoa; Chordata; Mammalia; Primates; Hominidae
Description: lincRNA
Source: RNAcentral